This 460-nucleotide ribosomal RNA is filed under the name uncultured bacterium. Its description in RNAcentral is "partial 16S ribosomal RNA". It matches the Rfam family "Bacterial small subunit ribosomal RNA", at positions 338 to 795 of the family's 1533-position model. The record is from RNAcentral.
CCUACGGGAGGCAGCAGUGAGGAAUAUUGGUCAAUGGACGAGAGUCUGAACCAGCCAAGUAGCGUGAAGGAUGACUGCCCUAUGGGUUGUAAACUUCUUUUAUAUGGGAAUAAAAUGUUCCACGUGUGGGAUUUUGUAUGUACCAUAUGAAUAAGGAUCGGCUAACUCCGUGCCAGCAGCCGCGGUAAUACGGAGGAUCCGAGCGUUAUCCGGAUUUAUUGGGUUUAAGGGGAGCGUAGGUGGAUUGUUAAGUCAGUUGUGAAAGUUUGCGGCUCAACCGUAAAAUUGCAGUUGAAACUGGCAGUCUUGAGUACAGUAGAGGUGGGCGGAAUGCGUGGUGUAGCGGUGAAAUGCUUAGAUAGCACGAAGAACUCCGAUUGCGAAGGCAGUUCACUGGACUGCAACUGACACUGAGGCUCGAAAGUGUGGGUAUCAAACAGGAUUAGAUACCCCUGUAGUC